This 253-nucleotide ribosomal RNA is filed under the name uncultured bacterium. RNAcentral describes it as "partial 16S ribosomal RNA". It matches the Rfam family "Bacterial small subunit ribosomal RNA", at positions 524 to 776 of the family's 1533-position model. The record is from RNAcentral.
UACGUAGGGGGCAAGCGUUGUCCGGAAUCAUUGGGCGUAAAGAGCGCGUAGGCGGCCCAGUAAGUCCGCUCUGAAAGUCAGAGGCUUAACCUCUGAAUGCGGGUGGAUACUGCUGGGCUAGAGUCCGGAAGAGGCGAGUGGGAUUCCUGGUGUAGCGGUGAAAUGCGCAGAUAUCAGGAGGAACACCGGUGGCGAAGGCGGUUCUCUGGGCAUUACCUGACGCUGAGGAGCGAAAGUGUGGGGAGCGAACAGG